GGCUGGUCCAUGUGCAGUAGUGUUUACAACUCUUUGAUCACAAUCAAUUAACAGUUCUUCUCCACUCCCACUGCUUCACUUGACUAUCCUUAA
This is an unclassified non-coding RNA of Pan paniscus (pygmy chimpanzee), 93 nucleotides long. It matches the Rfam family "Y RNA". Rfam says of the family: Y RNAs are components of the Ro ribonucleoprotein particle (Ro RNP), in association with Ro60 and La proteins. The Y RNAs and Ro60 and La proteins are well conserved, but the function of the Ro RNP is not known. NCBI's taxonomy places the organism in Eukaryota, Metazoa, Chordata, Mammalia, Primates, Hominidae. The record is from Ensembl.